GAGUAAUACAUAAGUAACCUGCCCUAGACAGGGGGAGUAACUAUUGGAAACGAUAGCUAAGACCGCAUAGGUACGGACACUGCAUGGUGACCGUAUUAAAAGUGCCUCAAAGCACUGGUAGAGGAUGGACUUAUGGCGCAUUAGCUGGUUGGCGGGGUAACGGCCCACCAAGGCGACGAUGCGUAGCCGACCUGAGAGGGUGACCGGCCACACUGGGACUGAGACACGGCCCAGACUCCUACGGGAGGCAGCAUG
RNAcentral lists this ribosomal RNA (255 nucleotides) under uncultured bacterium. Its description in RNAcentral is "partial 16S ribosomal RNA". It matches the Rfam family "Bacterial small subunit ribosomal RNA", at positions 108 to 353 of the family's 1533-position model. The record is from RNAcentral.